ACGGGGGGCUACGGGAGGCAGCAGUAGGGAAUCUUCCACAAUGGACGCAAGUCUGAUGGAGCAACGCCGCGUGAGUGAAGAAGGUUUUCGGAUCGUAAAGCUCUGUUGUUGGUGAAGAAAGAUAGUGAGAGUAACUGCUCAUUAUUUGCCGGUAAUCAACCAGAAAGUCACGGCUAACUACGUGCCAGCAGCCGCGGUAAUA
RNAcentral lists this ribosomal RNA (202 nucleotides) under uncultured bacterium. RNAcentral's name for it is "partial 16S ribosomal RNA". It matches the Rfam family "Bacterial small subunit ribosomal RNA", at positions 326 to 525 of the family's 1533-position model. The record is from RNAcentral.